This is a long non-coding RNA of Gekko japonicus, 359 nucleotides long. RefSeq lists it as uncharacterized. Lineage: Eukaryota; Metazoa; Chordata; Lepidosauria; Squamata; Gekkonidae. The record is from RefSeq and is a predicted model, not a curated record. The transcript has 3 exons.
GAUCACAUAUUUUCUGGCCGGUCUUUGGAAACUGAUGCCAGGCUGCCGAAAUUGUAUUAUGACAUUGUGAAGGUUGGUCUGGAGUACAGAAAGAAGGACCGCACCAUAAAUCUGGAGGAUAUUCGCUACAACCUGCAAAAUGACUUCAAGGAUUUGGUUGAGCCCCACAGGGAGCACCCCUGUGAACAUUCCAGCACAUCCAACAGUGAAUCCCAUCACAACAUUAAUAUCUGCUUUCCAUCCACCUCAGACUUCGGAGUCAAGACGCCAAAGCCACAAGGAGAGGAGGCGGUCCAAGUUGUCAGGACCUUUACUGUGUCAAGUUGUGCUGUUUCUGCACCCGUAAUCGAGGGCGCUAC